This 324-nucleotide ribosomal RNA is filed under the name uncultured eukaryote. RNAcentral's name for it is "partial 18S ribosomal RNA". It matches the Rfam family "Eukaryotic small subunit ribosomal RNA", at positions 1470 to 1796 of the family's 1831-position model. The record is from RNAcentral.
CCCUUAGAUGUCCUGGGCUGCACGCGCGCUACACUGAUGUGUCCAGUAAGCACCUAACCUCUUCCGAAAGGAACGGGUAACCUUUGCAAAGCACAUCGUGAUGGGGAUAGAUUAUUGCAAUUAUUAGUCUUGAACGAGGAAUUCCUAGUAAGCACAAGUCAUCAGCUUGUGUUGAUUACGUCCCUGCCCUUUGUACACACCGCCCGUCGCUCCUACCGAUUGAAUGUUCCGGUGAGCUCUUCGGACUGCGCGGUCUGCAGUUUCUGCGUUCCGUGCGGAAAGUUGCGCAAACCUUAACACUUAGAGGAAGGAGAAGUCGUAACA